AUAGUAAUAGGAAAAUCCGUCGACUUUAGAAAUCGUGAGGGUUCAAGUCC
This 50-nucleotide transfer RNA is filed under the name Agrimonia incisa. RNAcentral's name for it is "partial tRNA-Leu". The record is from RNAcentral. Lineage: Eukaryota; Viridiplantae; Streptophyta; Magnoliopsida; Rosales; Rosaceae.